UACAGAGGUCUCAAGCGUUGUUCGGAUUCAUUGGGCGUAAAGGGUGCGUAGGCGGCGCGGUAAGUCGGGUGUGAAAUCUCGGAGCUUAACUCCGAAACUACAUUCGAUACUGCCGUGCUUGAGGACUGGAGAGGAGACUGGAAUUUACGGUGUAGCGGUGAAAUGCGUAGAUAUUCGCAAGAACACCCGUGGCGAAGGCGGUUCUCUGGAACGCAACUGACGCUGAGACGCGAAAGCGUGGGGAGCAAACAGG
Molecule: ribosomal RNA, 253 nt
Filed under: uncultured bacterium
Lineage: Bacteria
Description: partial 16S ribosomal RNA
Rfam family: Bacterial small subunit ribosomal RNA
Source: RNAcentral